This 410-nucleotide ribosomal RNA is filed under the name uncultured microorganism. Its description in RNAcentral is "bacterial SSU rRNA". It matches the Rfam family "Bacterial small subunit ribosomal RNA", at positions 509 to 917 of the family's 1533-position model. The record is from RNAcentral.
CAGCCGCCGCGGUAAUACGUAGGGUGCGAGCUUUACUCGGAUUUACUGGGCGUAAAGCGUGCGCAGGCGGCCCGUUAAGACAGGUGUGAAAUCCCUGGGCUCAACCUAGGAAUUGCGCUUGUGACUGGCGGGCUCGAGUACGGUAGAGGGGAGUGGAAUUCCUGGUGUAGCAGUGAAAUGCGUAGAGAUCAGGAGGAACACCGAUGGCGAAGGCAGCCCCCUGGGCCUGUACUGACGCUCAUGCACGAAAGCGUGGGGAGCAAACAGGAUUAGAUACCCUGGUAGUCCACGCCUGAAACGAUGGGUACUAGCCGUUUGGUGCGCGAGAGCGCUGAGUGGCGAAGCUAACGCGUGAAGUACCCCGCCUGGGGAGUACGGCCGCAAGGUUGAAACUUAAAGGAAUUGGCGGG